RNAcentral lists this long non-coding RNA (712 nucleotides) under Trifolium pratense (red clover). RNAcentral's name for it is "long non-coding RNA (TPRA_LNC011838)". The record is from RNAcentral. Lineage: Eukaryota; Viridiplantae; Streptophyta; Magnoliopsida; Fabales; Fabaceae.
CUGUUAUCAUUAUCAUCUCUAUCCUCUGCUAGGCCCUUGAACGAUUUCAGCCACCUCCCAGCCACAUCAAACCUUGCACUUCCAAGCGACAGGAUGGCGAUGAUGCCCGAGAAGGAAGGACAUGUCUCAGGAGUAUUGGAAAUUAGAGGUGGUGGAAAAGCAGCAGCAUAUGGGCCAUUGAUUCUCAAUAUGCUUCCAAAGGGGAAAGUUCCACCAUCUGGACCAAGCAAAGGAACAAACAACCUCAACAACNNNNGCGUUGUUACUUGUGUGUGUUUUUUUUUGAAAAAGCUAAAAUGAUAUAUAUAUAAAUAUGAACAAAACAGCCUCCUCAGCACAAGGUGUGCCAAGAUAGACUAACAAAGUUUACAGUGAGACCAAGAAAGAAAUACACAAUCAAAAUCAUACAAGACUCAAACAUAAUAAGGGACUAGACCACCAAACAUGGUAGUUUGAAACUAGAGUGUGUUAUAGGCUAUAGCUAUAUUAAUUAAUACUUAAUUAUUGAUUGAAUUAAUUAGAACUUAUGUCUUAUACAAAGUAGUAUACAUGGACAUGAUCAUAGUACAUCACUGUCAUCACAUACGUCAACUGUAACUCAGUUCAUCACAUUUUGGUCAUCUAUAGUGUUUUAUUUUUCAAAAAAAUUUACAUUUUUUUAUCCUAAUUCAAUAUUUUUUGGCUUAAUUAAUAAAAUGGUCCCUUAAAGACA